RNAcentral lists this ribosomal RNA (431 nucleotides) under Pseudomonas sp. R8.9. RNAcentral's name for it is "bacterial SSU rRNA". It matches the Rfam family "Bacterial small subunit ribosomal RNA", at positions 86 to 512 of the family's 1533-position model. The record is from RNAcentral. Lineage: Bacteria; Pseudomonadati; Pseudomonadota; Gammaproteobacteria; Pseudomonadales; Pseudomonadaceae.
CCUUGAGAAGCGGCGGACGGGUGAGUAAUGCCUAGGAAUCUGCCUGGGUAGUGGGGGAUAACGUUCGGAAACGGACGCUAAUACCGCAUACGUCCUACGGGAGAAAGCAGGGGACCUUCGGGCCUUGCGCUAUCAGAUGAGCCUAGGUCGGAUUAGCUAGUUGGUGAGGUAAUGGCUCACCAAGGCGACGAUCCGUAACUGGUCUGAGAGGAUGAUCAGUCACACUGGAACUGAGACACGGUCCAGACUCCUACGGGAGGCAGCAGUGGGGAAUAUUGGACAAUGGGCGAAAGCCUGAUCCAGCCAUGCCGCGUGUGUGAAGAAGGUCUUCGGAUUGUAAAGCACUUUAAGUUGGGAGGAAGGGCAUUAACCUAAUACGUUAGUGUUUUGACGUUACCGACAGAAUAAGCACCGGCUAACUCUGUGCCAGC